This 946-nucleotide long non-coding RNA is filed under the name Lynx canadensis (Canada lynx). Its description in RNAcentral is "lncRNA (ENSLCNG00005016087.1)". The record is from RNAcentral. Lineage: Eukaryota; Metazoa; Chordata; Mammalia; Carnivora; Felidae.
CUUCUCAUCUCUGGAAAAAAGUCCAUACCGGCCGUCUACACUGGCGCCUGGGGGAGAAAGCAGGGAAGAAACUGGGGGUGCUUGAGAAACGUUUUCAUUCGCACCUCGGGGGAAAAUGUUUCUGCAUCUUCUGAUGGAAAGAAAUCUUUACAAGACACAGGUUUUCCGGCUAAUAAUGAUUCUUCUCCGUUGCGGAUCGGAUCCAAGUUCUGUGUCUGGUGGUCAGUUUAUAAAUUUGUACUUCAAGAGACUUCAUAGCCACUGUAUCUUAUAUUGGUCUAUGGAUAUGUUUUUACAUGCAUAUUUGCAAGUCGCUUUCUAUAUAAAAAUUUGUAUUAUAUAUUCCACUCAAAACUGAGAUUGCCAAAAGACAAUUGUUAAGGGAUGUCUUUUGUCUCCUUGUCUCAAAGCUAUGUAAAUAAAACCUGACUGUCCAGAAAGGCAUGAUCCAGCUGUUUAUUUUUCACAGUGCCAAUAAAGGCAGAGAUCACUGAGAGGUUAAAUACAAUUUAAGUAUAACUGAGCACAUUUCUGAGAAUAAUCCUCAUUCUGUUAUGGUCUACCCAUGAAGAAAGGUUACUGUAAAACUGGAAAUAGACUUGAAAAGACAGCUUUAGAUUUUCUUUAAAAUUGCUUAUUGAGGAAAUGUGAUUAUUCUACCCAGAUAUUUGAUUUUCUCAUUAGAUUCUUUAGGGGUUAGAUCUUUGGCGCAUCGCACAUGUUGCUGUCCACUUUCUGUGUCACAGAGUGGAAAAAUGUGUGUUUUUGUUAGAGUUGAUAUGUUGUUGGUUCUUAACUUCCAGUGUGCUGCCAGCUGUAUAAAUCACUUUUAAUAUAUUGCAGUGGUUGUCACAGAUCUACUUUUUUUAAAUGAGCACAGCUUAGUGGAUAAAUGGGAUCAAAGUUACCCAAAGCUGAGGUAGCACCGAGAUCAGAGAAGGGUACC